Molecule: non-coding RNA, 3216 nt
Organism: Oryctolagus cuniculus (rabbit)
Lineage: Eukaryota; Metazoa; Chordata; Mammalia; Lagomorpha; Leporidae
Source: RefSeq, a predicted model, not a curated record
UCAAGUUCACCAGCUGAUAUGCUUAUCUCUCUCCUUCCCUCACAGCCAGUUUAUUAUAUGUGUGUGUAUGUGCAUAUAUAUAUAAUAUUGCAAGUUUAAUAUUUCUUGGUAGGAACAAUAGAGAGAAGUGUACCUAUUCCAUUUUAUGGAGCUCAAGGUCCUGAACUGCCUUUCAAGUUCAAUGGUUUUCAUUGGACACAAGAAAGAAAAAGGGGUACAUUUUUCAUACAAUUGUGUAAAAAUAAUUAGUUCUUUGAUAGUGAUGUGCCUGGACCUCAUACAGCACACAUCACUUUUGUAAGGUCUGGUAUUGGUAGAGAUUGGAAAUAUGAUGCUUACAGGGAUGGAAGGCAAGUAUCCAUCCUCACCUAAGCCUUACUGGUUAAAGAACUCUGGGGGUGGAGGCCCAGCAACCUGUUGUAAACAAACAAUCAGGUGAUUUAGAAUUGAGCUAAAAUUUGAGAGCCACUGAACCCUGGGGAUUAUCGAGGACUCCUAUAAUUUGGUAUGGCCUGCAGGGAGACAGUGCUCCAGAGCUCAUGUAUGAAUAUCCCUUGCUGCGAAUGUGUGCCUUUCUCUCAGAGACUUUUCCUGCGUUUCGCUUCCUUAAUUUUACAGGUGAAAAAGAGAAAAGAAAGUAGCCAUACCAAUGCUGAAGUUAUGAGUUACCUGCAAAAGUGGAAAGACAACUUAAAGCUAAGUACUUCCAUGAGACAAUUAUCAAUACAGUCUGAGUCUGCCUUAUGUGUUAAGCCCCAGGGAAAAAAAAGAAAAUUUAAAAUUUCUUUGCAUAAACUAUGCUUAAAAUCCACUACUGGAAUGAUUAUAUUUUAGAAAGAUGUUUAAAAUUCCACCAUUGAAAUUAUUUUCAAGGAACUGACAUCUUCUAGAAUGAAGAAGUAACACAUCAAACUGUCCUUUCCUUUGCAAUAGAAGAGGAAUAAAUGGAAAAUGAAUAGAUCUAAUCUCCUGUUUGAAGAAGAUCCAAGAGAUGCAAAGAGACCGUAAUGAGAAGGGAUGCUGAUGGGGACUUAUGUGGGAGUGAUCCAAAACAAACUUGGCUACCACACAAAUUUAUUUAGCACGUGUGGUAACUAAGAUGGUAUUAUGCCAUCGGUGUCCAUUAAUAUAUAGUGAUUCUGACCAAGUCGGUUAUUUUCAUCCUUUAAGAAUUAGCAGCACGUAUGGAAUUUAGCAACAAUCCCAUGAUUUUGUAAGCAGAGGAAAAUCUAGUUUUGAAGGAAAACUGUUCUCACUGUUUCACAAAGUACGAACUAUUCAUGGUAAGGGGCAUAGCUUCUCUAAUUCAGUUCAACAUUAUCUUUAUUAUUAUGUCUUGAGGAUAUCAUAAUUCUGGAUUGUCUUUUGACAUUGCACUUCAUCAUCAUCUACCUUAAAGACUGUGUAGUGUUUAAAGUCUCUUGGCCGUCUGGGGCAGAUAGACUCAUAUCUCACUUGCUCCCCUAAAAGGCACAAAAUCAAAUUACACCAAAAGGCUCCUUAGAGUACAGCUCUUUGCCAAUUACUUGAAUUAUUUUCAGCCACUUUGGCACGUUUCCCCUCCAGAUGAAAUGGAAAUCUUUUAGUCUGCACCAGUGAAGGAUUUCAUAUUUCUCAGCGCUUCCACAUACACAGGAUAAUGAGAAUAAAAGCUUCUUUGCCUCCCAGAUCUUUCCUACGGUGCCAUAAUGUAAGGGAAAUAACAUCCAUUUCUAACACAUGAAGCCCACGUAUUUUCUAAAGAAGAGAAAGACAUUAACAUUACACAGGAAAACUAUUUGCUCUUUGCUUUAAAUUUCCAAAUUUGAGCCCACCGGAGAUUUCAGACUUCAGAACUACAUCCAUCUGUGCUGAGACAUAGAACCUCUGAGGUGCUUCAUUAUUGGCACUUAAAGCUGGUUUCAUGAAACACCUGGUCUGAGUAAGCAAUGUGAUCAGAGAGUGUCAGCAGGGCAGACAGAUUUUCAAAGAAAGAUUGUUACCUACCCGAAAGCCAUUUUUGAAGCCAGAAACAGCAAUAUCAGCAAACUAGUAACAGUAGCUUAAACAUCCUCAAGUCUAGUAUUAACACAUCCCGUCCUCUCAAGAUUAGAUGACUUCUUUUAAAAGUUUUUGGGUCUCAGGAGGACAAAUUGAUUCUCUGAAUUUAUAGUUUUAUAAAAAUGUUUUUACUGAUGUUCUUAUCAUUUAUUAUUCCCAGUCACUCCUUUAUUUUUCCUUCUGAUUUGCAUUCCCCCCUGGCCCGACCAGUGCCUAGAGCAGCACUCACUGAAAUCACAACACAUUGCUCUGUAUUCUCCCCUCUUCCCAGCCCUUAGGAAUGAGUCCCUUGCCUAGAGCAUUAUGAACUGGGGGGGAGAAAAUCACUACUGGUUGCUUUGCUUGCAGUUCGCAUUUGGACUUGUGCUUGCAGAAAUUGAGCUGAACUUCCUUCAGUGUUACUGCAUCUGUGAGGUUCAUAUGUGGAUACCGUUGACCCCCGAGGGACAGCACUGGGAGAUGAUACGCAACUUUUAAGGGAUUAACAAUGAUGUGGCUCUCUUACAUCAAGAAGUGAGAAAAUUUUGGAGGUGAACAUGAUUUCAAAUUAAAUUAUAAUCAAAGGUUGAGUGAUCCAUUAAAUAAUAAUAGCCAAGAUAUGAAUAUCAACCUGGAUGUGCACUGAUGGAGGAAUUGACAUCUAUAUAAUAACAGAUUAUUAUUCAGCUUUAUGAAGGAAGGAAAUUUUGUUAUUGCAACUACAAGAAUGAGUCUGGGAUACAUUAUGCUAUGGCAUUGUUGUAAAUAAAACACAGCUCAGGUGGUUCAUUUGGGAGGACAGAAGGCAUUUGGAAGAGAUUCACUGUAUCUAACCCAAUAAAGUACAUUGUGAAGCACAUGAGACCCAGCAACUUCAAGAGAAGCAAAGCUACCAGCUAAGCCUAUCUUCUAUUAAACACAACAUAGCCAAGACAAAGAUUCACAAUUUUGUUUCUAUCUCUUGAGCUUUGUGUGGAUUGUUUUGCAGUAUAUUGGAACAAUGGCUAACUGAAACAUAGGCAAACUCUUUUUCUUUUAUGAACUCCCCCAAAGUAACAUUUAUACACAAUUCAUAUGAUAUAAGAGGGGUCCUCAACAAUAUUCAUGGAAAAUGUACAUCAGCUUUUAAUUAUCUUUUCUAUGAAAAUUUUUAUUUAUCCUCAUAUGUCUUUGUUAUACCAAGGGAAUCAAUUUGGA